GAGAAGUUGGUAUAGAAACCAAAUAACAAAAGUGAAAGAAAAAGAGAAAUGAGAGCCUCAAUGAGCUGGUGUACCACUGCCAGUUUCUUACUAGUCAUGCUUUCUUUAAAUCUGCUUUCAGGGGCCUUUGCAAGACACCACAAAUCGCCCCUACCACCACACACGGUUUAUUUGACUCCAUCACCAUCACCUAAUAAUCCUCCUUUACCAAAAUCACCACCAGUGCACAAGAAAUCUCCUCCACCAUCACCACCACAAUUUACAAGGGUACCAUCACCAAAGAAACCGAAAUCUUCACCACCACCACCUGAUCAAAUUUAUCAUAUACCUCCAUUUCCCCUUACCUGAGGUUCUAAUGGAGAAUGGAAAGUCUGGCCCUAGGUAUCUAAAUUUGGUCAUAGCUAUUGGUGAUGGUGAUACUCGAUCCAUAUAUUGUGGUUUAAUUUAAUAAUGAGCAUGUGAGAAUGAUAAAAUAAAAUUAAAAUAUAAGAGUGAAAUGUAA
Molecule: long non-coding RNA, 502 nt
Organism: Hevea brasiliensis (rubber tree)
Lineage: Eukaryota; Viridiplantae; Streptophyta; Magnoliopsida; Malpighiales; Euphorbiaceae
Exons: 2
Source: RefSeq, a predicted model, not a curated record